UACGAAGGGGGCUAGCGUUGCUCGGAAUCACUGGGCGUAAAGGGCGCGUAGGCGGACGUUUAAGUCAGGGGUGAAAGCCCAAGGCUCAACCUUGGAAUGGCCUUUGAUACUGGACGUCUUGAGACCGGAAGAGGUCAGUGGAACUGCGAGUGUAGAGGUGAAAUUCGUAGAUAUUCGCAAGAACACCAGUGGCGAAGGCGGCUGACUGGUCCGGUUCUGACGCUGAGGCGCGAAAGCGUGGGGAGCAAACAGG
Molecule: ribosomal RNA, 253 nt
Filed under: uncultured bacterium
Lineage: Bacteria
Description: partial 16S ribosomal RNA
Rfam family: Bacterial small subunit ribosomal RNA
Source: RNAcentral